Molecule: unclassified non-coding RNA, 329 nt
Filed under: soil metagenome
Description: partial contains 5.8S ribosomal RNA, internal transcribed spacer 2, and large subunit ribosomal RNA
Rfam family: 5.8S ribosomal RNA (bases 1-120)
Source: RNAcentral
GAUGAAGAACGUAGCGAAAUGCGAUAAGUAAUGUGAAUUGCAGAAUUCAGUGAAUCAUCGAAUCUUUGAACGCACAUUGCGCCCCCUGGUAUUCCGGGGGGCAUGCCUGUCCGAGCGUCAUUACAACCCUCAAGCUCAGCUUGGUGUUGGGCCCCGCCGCCCCGGCGGGCCCUAAAGUCAGUGGCGGUGCCGUCCGGCUCCGAGCGUAGUAAUUCUUCUCGCUCUGGAGGUCCGGUCGUGUGCUCGCCAGCAACCCCCAAUUUUUUUCAGGUUGACCUCGGAUCAGGGAGGGAUACCCGCUGAACUUAAGCAUAUCAAUAAGCGGAGGA